This 83-nucleotide transfer RNA is filed under the name Portunus trituberculatus (swimming crab). Its description in RNAcentral is "tRNA-Leu". It matches the Rfam family "tRNA". From Rfam's summary of the family: Transfer RNA (tRNA) molecules are approximately 80 nucleotides in length. Their secondary structure includes four short double-helical elements and three loops (D, anti-codon, and T loops). The record is from RNAcentral. Lineage: Eukaryota; Metazoa; Arthropoda; Malacostraca; Decapoda; Portunidae.
GUCAGGAUGGCCGAGUGGUCUAAGGCGCCAGACUCAAGUUCUGGUCCUCUCAGAGGGCGUGGGUUCGAAUCCCACUUCUGACA